RNAcentral lists this ribosomal RNA (265 nucleotides) under uncultured bacterium. RNAcentral describes it as "partial 16S ribosomal RNA". It matches the Rfam family "Bacterial small subunit ribosomal RNA", at positions 793 to 1055 of the family's 1533-position model. The record is from RNAcentral.
GUCCACGCCGUAAACUAUGGAUGCUAGCUGUUAUAGGUAUCGACCCCUGUAGUAGCGAAGCUAACGCGUUAAGCAUCCCGCCUGUGGAGUACGAGCGCAAGCUUAAAACAUAAAGGAAUUGACGGGGGACCCGCACAAGCGGUGGAGCGUGUUCUUUAAUUCGAAGGUAAGCGAAGAACCUUACCAAGGCUUGACAUCCUGCGAAGACAUCCGAAAGGAUAUUGUGCCCUCGGGAACGCAGUGACAGGUGUUGCAUGGCCGUCGU